Molecule: unclassified non-coding RNA, 229 nt
Filed under: plant metagenome
Description: partial contains small subunit ribosomal RNA, internal transcribed spacer 1, and 5.8S ribosomal RNA
Source: RNAcentral
GCCCCGUAGGUGAACCUGCGGAGGGAUCAUUACAGAGUUCAUGCCCUACCGGGUAGAUCUCCCACCCUAUGUUAUUAUUACUUUGUUGCUUUGGCGGGCCGUUAGGCUCCGGCCCGACUACCGGCCCCGGCUGGUAAGCGCCCGCCAGAGGACCCAAAACCCUGAAUAUUAGUGUCGUCUGAGUACUAUAUAAUAGUUAAAACUUUCAACAACGGAUCUCUUGGUUCUG